UACGAAGGGGGCUAGCGUUGUUCGGCCUUCCUUUUCUUCCCUCUCACUUAUUCUUCUUUUUAAUUUAUAUUUGAAAGCCCGGAGCUCAACUCCGGAACUGCCUUUAAGACUGCAUCGCUUGAACGUCGGAGAGGUAAGUGGAAUUCCGAGUGUAGAGGUGAAAUUCGUAGAGACCGGGAAGAACACCAGUGGCGAAGGCGGCUACCUGGACAGGUACUGACGCUGAAGCGCGAAAGCUAGGGGAGCAAACAGG
This 253-nucleotide ribosomal RNA is filed under the name uncultured bacterium. Its description in RNAcentral is "partial 16S ribosomal RNA". It matches the Rfam family "Bacterial small subunit ribosomal RNA", at positions 524 to 776 of the family's 1533-position model. The record is from RNAcentral.